UAAAACCAAAGGGGACUUUAAUAUUCAUAAAAUAAAUCUUAUUUACAUAUUUUACAUUUCCAUCCGUAUCACAAUGGACAGUAGAAUGUGAUUUCAAAAGAGUUCGUAGAUGCUCUAGAAAUAAAUUUAGCACCGUGGCAAUAUCCUGUAUAGUAUCUCAACUUUUUAUUAAGUGUGAUGGAUAACGCAAAGCAAUGAUAAACCUCUGCAUUUUAAGUGUUAAACUUGUCCAUCCUGAACUGGUUGUUUGAUUUAGAGUGCCGGGAGAGAGUUGUGGUAAGAGGUUUAAUUCACGUAUCAUUAAAGGGUGAAUGUUGUAUCUGUGACAACCCAAGAUUAUAGGAACAUCACUACUUAAAGGGACCCUAUAGGCAUUCAGACCACUUAAUCUUAAAGCGGCACUGUCAUGCCGAAUUCUGUUUUUUUUUUAACCCCCCUCCCGCCUCCACUACAUCCAAUUGACCCACUAGUCACCCCCAAAUGCCUCUAAGCCCCCCACAUUACCUAUUUUUUAAUCCUUAUUUUCUGCCCCGAUCUAUAUUCAGGGCGCAGCCAUCUUUGUGUGGGUAGGUGAAGUCCCUGUGGGACACGUCAUCAGCCCACACUAGACAGACUGUGAGAUUCCCGCACAUGCCCAGUGAAACACC
This is a non-coding RNA of Pelobates cultripes (western spadefoot toad), 647 nucleotides long. Lineage: Eukaryota; Metazoa; Chordata; Amphibia; Anura; Pelobatidae. The record is from the annotation of a GenBank genome assembly.